This 468-nucleotide ribosomal RNA is filed under the name uncultured bacterium. RNAcentral describes it as "partial 16S ribosomal RNA". It matches the Rfam family "Bacterial small subunit ribosomal RNA", at positions 28 to 507 of the family's 1533-position model. The record is from RNAcentral.
GACGAACGCUGGCGGCGUGCUUAACACAUGCAAGUCGAACGGAAAGGCCCUGCUUUUGUGGGGUGCUCGAGUGGCGAACGGGUGAGUAACACGUGAGUAACCUGCCCUUGACUUUGGGAUAACUUCAGGAAACUGGGGCUAAUACCGGAUAGGAGCUCCUGCUGUAUGGUGGGGGUUGGAAAGUUUCGGCGGUUGGGGAUGGACCCGCGGCUUAUCAGGUUGUUGGUGGGGUAGUGGCUUACCAAGGCUUUGACUGGUCGCCGGCCUGAGAGGGUGACCGGCCACAUUGGGACUGAGAUACGGCCCAGACUCCUACGGGAGGCAGCAGUGGGGAAUAUUGCACAAUGGGCGGGAGCCUGAUGCAGCAACGCCGCGUGCGGGAUGACGGCCUUCGGGGUGUAAACCGCUUUCGCCUGUGACGAAGCGUGAGUGACGGUAAUGGGUAAAGAAGCACCGGCUAACUACGUG